Molecule: ribosomal RNA, 469 nt
Filed under: uncultured bacterium
Lineage: Bacteria
Description: partial 16S ribosomal RNA
Rfam family: Bacterial small subunit ribosomal RNA
Source: RNAcentral
GACGAACGCUGGCGGCGUGCUUAACACAUGCAAGUCGAACGAUAAAGCACCAGCUUUCUGGUGUGGAUUAGUGGCGAACGGGUGAGUAACACGUGAGUAACCUGCCCCUCACUCUGGGAUAAGUCUGGGAAACUGGGUCUAAUACUGGAUACGACCUACCUCUGCAUGGAGUGGUUGUGGAAGGUUUUUGUGGUGGGGGAUGGACUCGCGGCUUAUCAGCUUGUUGGUGGGGUAGUGGCCUACCAAGGCGUUGACGGGUAGCCGGCCUGAGAGGGUGACCGGCCACACUGGGACUGAGAUACGGCCCAGACUCCUACGGGAGGCAGCAGUGGGGAAUAUUGCACAAUGGGCGAAAGCCUGAUGCAGCAACGCCGCGUGCGGGAUGACGGCCUUCGGGUUGUAAACCUCUUUCACCAGGGACGAAGCUAGCGUGACGGUAACUGGAGAAGAAGCACCGGCUAACUACGUG